UAGAAUGCCUGUUUUACUUCAUUGUAUUUAUUCAAACCAAGGGCCAAUACAUCUGAAAUUCCAAGGAAUGAGAGGAAAAUUCUUUUAAUAGGGUUAACGGUCAGAAGCUCUCAAGCUUCAGUCAGCGGGUCAAACUGGAGCAGGGCUUUGCAAAACCAUGGUUUUGCCCAACUAUAGCAAAGGCAUCAUAAUUCUACAGCUAAUUUUUAUUAUACAAACUUAUUGCAUACAAUUUUAUGUACUUUAAACAUUUAUACAAUUCAUGCAUGAACAUGCAAAUUUCCAUGACUAUUGAUGUAUUUGAGGUAGUAAGAG
Molecule: unclassified non-coding RNA, 315 nt
Filed under: Hevea brasiliensis (rubber tree)
Lineage: Eukaryota; Viridiplantae; Streptophyta; Magnoliopsida; Malpighiales; Euphorbiaceae
Source: RNAcentral